GUGAAUCAUCAAAUCUUUGAACGCAAAUUGCACUCUCUUCGGAGAGGAUGCGUGUUUGAGUUUGAGCCUAAAAAAAAUCAACAAAGGUGCUGUUACGCGGGAACAUUCGUCGGAAAUUGGGUCAUCUUAAACCUUUGGGUUUAAGCGACUUAAAAUUUUCUUUACGAUUCCAAUAACGUUCCUAAGAUUGUAUUUUCUUAUACGUUUAAGG
Molecule: unclassified non-coding RNA, 211 nt
Filed under: Glomus sp.
Lineage: Eukaryota; Fungi; Glomeromycota; Glomeromycetes; Glomerales; Glomeraceae
Description: partial contains 5.8S ribosomal RNA and internal transcribed spacer 2
Source: RNAcentral